RNAcentral lists this ribosomal RNA (827 nucleotides) under Tirisporella beccariana. Its description in RNAcentral is "eukaryotic LSU rRNA". It matches the Rfam family "Eukaryotic large subunit ribosomal RNA", at positions 80 to 923 of the family's 3401-position model. The record is from RNAcentral. Lineage: Eukaryota; Fungi; Ascomycota; Sordariomycetes; Tirisporellales; Tirisporellaceae.
UCAGUAACGGCGAGUGAAGCGGCAACAGCUCAAAUUUGAAAUCUGGCACCCCUCCCGGGGGGUGCCCGAGUUGUAAUUUGCAGAGGAUGCCCUUGGCGAGGCGCCUUCCGAGUUCCUGGAACGGGACGCCGCAGAGGGUGAGAGCCCCGUAGCGGUCGGUCGCCACAGCCUGUGUAGGGCUCCUUCAAAGAGUCGAGUAGUUUGGGAAUGCUGCUCAAAGCGGGAGGUAAAUCUCUUCUAAAGCUAAAUACCUGCCAGAGACCGAUAGCGCACAAGUAGCGUGAGCGAAAGAUGAAAAGCACUCUGGAGAGAGGGUCAAACAGUACGUGAAAUUGUUGAAAGGGAAGCGCUAGCGGCCAGACGUGGGCCGGCGGCUCCCCCGGCGUUCUUCGCCGGUCCGCUCCGCCCGGCCCAGGCCAGCAUCGGUUUCCGCGGGGGGAUAAGGGUGGUGGGAACGUGGCUCCCCCUUCGGGGGGGGUGUUAUAGCCCGCCCCUCGAUGCCCCCGUGGGGACCGAGGAUCGCGCCCCGUGCGAGGAUGCUGGCGUAAUGGCCGCUAACGACCCGUCUUGAAACACGGACCAAGGAGUCGUCCACUGGAGCGAGCGUUAGGGUGUAAAACCGGUACGCGUAAUGAAAGUAACAGGUGAGAGCCUCGGCGCAUCAUCGACCGAUCCUGAAGUGCUCGGAUGGAUUUGAGUAGGAGUUCCAGCGGACGGACCCGAAAGACAGUGAACUAUGCCUGUAUAGGGUGAAGCCAGAGGAAACUCUGGUGGAGGCUCGCAGCGGUUCUGACGUGCAAAUCGAUCGUCAAAUAUGGGCAUGGGGG